UCUCUGCAGCCUUGUCAUUCAGCCCUGGGUGACCUCCCAUCACCUUUGGGCUCAACAAGGCUGCAAAAAACAACUCAAAGAAUGAAAAGGCGCGGCUCCUGCAGGAUUGGGAGUUCUGCGUGCGAUGUUCCUUGGACAGACGCCUGCCUCCCACGGUGGUGUUGGCCGGUCUCUGUGGCCGUCACCUUUCUUGAGGCAGGUAGAGUAAAACCAGGCAGCCAGAUAUUGUUUGGACCAGGGGAAGCUUUGCCUGUCAGACACUGUCCGCUGCCACAAGA
Molecule: non-coding RNA, 278 nt
Organism: Cyprinodon variegatus (sheepshead minnow)
Lineage: Eukaryota; Metazoa; Chordata; Actinopteri; Cyprinodontiformes; Cyprinodontidae
Source: Ensembl